Molecule: ribosomal RNA, 1500 nt
Filed under: uncultured Enterococcus sp.
Lineage: Bacteria; Bacillati; Bacillota; Bacilli; Lactobacillales; Enterococcaceae
Description: bacterial SSU rRNA
Rfam family: Bacterial small subunit ribosomal RNA
Source: RNAcentral
CGAACGCUGGCGGCGUGCCUAAUACAUGCAAGUCGAACGCUUCUUUCCUACCGAGUGCUUGCACUCACUUGGAAAGAGGAGUGGCGGACGGGUGAGUAACACGUGGGUAACCUACCCAUCAGAGGGGGAUAACACUUGGAAACAGGUGCUAAUACCGCAUAACAGUUUACACCGCCUGGUGUAAAAGUGAAAGGCGCUUUCGGGUGUCGCUGAUGGAUGGACCCGGCGGUGCAUUAGCUAGUUGGUGAGGUAACGGCUCACCAAGGCGAUGAUGCAUAGCCGACCUGAGAGGGUGAUCGGCCACACUGGGACUAGAGACACGGCCCAGACUCCUACGGGAGGCAGCAGUAGGGAAUCUUCGGCAAUGGACGAAAGUCUGACCGAGCAACGCCGCGUGAGUGAAGAAGGUUUUCGGAUCGUAAAACUCUGUUGUUAGAGAAGAACAAGGACGUAAGUAACUGUACGUCCCCUGACGGUAUCUAACCAGAAAGCCACGGCUAACUACGUGCCAGAAGCCACGGUAAUACGUACGUGCCAGCAGCCGCGGUAAUACGUAGGUGGCAAGCGUUGUCCGGAUUUAUUGGGCGUAAAGCGAGCGCAGGCGGUUUCUUAAGUCUGAUGUGAAAGCCCCCGGCUCAACCGGGGAGGGUCAUUGGAAACUGGGAGACUUGAGUGCAGAAGAGGAGAGUGGAAUUCCAUGUGUAGCGGUGAAAUGCGUAGAUAUAUGGAAGAACACCAGUGGCGAAGGCGGCUCUCUGGUCUGUAACUGACGCUGAGGCUCGAAAGCGUGGGGAGCAAACAGGAUUAGAUACCCUGGUAGUCCACGCCGUAAACGAUGAGUGCUAAGUGUUGGAGGGUUUCCGCCCUUCAGUGCUGCAGCAAACGCAUUAAGCACUCCGCCUGGGGAGUACGACCGCAAGGUUGAAACUCAAAGGAAUUGACGGGGGCCCGCACAAGCGGUGGAGCAUGUGGUUUAAUUCGAAGCAACGCGAAGAACCUUACCAGGUCUUGACAUCCUUUGACCACUCUAGAGAUAGAGCUUUCCCUUCGGGGACAAAGUGACAGGUGGUGCAUGGUUGUCGUCAGCUCGUGUCGUGAGAUGUUGGGUUAAGUCCCGCAACGAGCGCAACCCUUAUUGUUAGUUGCCAUCAUUUAGUUGGGCACUCUAGCGAGACUGCCGGUGACAAACCGGAGGAAGGUGGGGAUGACGUCAAAUCAUCAUGCCCCUUAUGACCUGGGCUACACACGUGCUACAAUGGGAAGUACAACGAGACGCUAGACCGCGAGGUCAUGCAAAUCUCUGUAAAGCUUCUCUCGGUUCGAAUUGCAGGCUGCAACUCGCCUGCAUGAAGCCGGAAUCGCUAGUAAUCGCGGAUCAGCACGCCGCAGGUGAAUACGUUCCCGGGCCUUGUACACACCGCCCGUCACACCACGAGAGUUUGUAACACCCGAAGUCGGUGAGGUAACCUUUUUGGAGCCAGCCGCCUAAGGUGGGAUAGA